This is a long non-coding RNA of Cyanistes caeruleus (blue tit), 329 nucleotides long. RefSeq lists it as uncharacterized. The record is from RefSeq and is a predicted model, not a curated record. NCBI's taxonomy places the organism in Eukaryota, Metazoa, Chordata, Aves, Passeriformes, Paridae.
GCUGUGCUUUUAACCCUUGAAGUGUUUAAAUUGGGGGAAUAUGUGGCAUUCAGAGCAGCACUUCACCUUAGUGCCUAUCUGAACAGAGCACAUUUUCUAAUGUGGUGGCUGAAUGCUUUGGUGAAUGCACUAGCUUAUAUAAGGGUGAUCAAUAUUCUGAUGUCAGUUCUGUUAGGACAGUGGACAAAGGACGGCAUCAAAUUGCAGUACAAAAGGAAGAGAUCUCCAGAGGUCUUCAUACUUUUCAUGUUCUAGAGAUCUAUGACACAAUGUAACCUUAUUUUCUAGGUAACACCAUGCCUAAGGACACAAAUAUCUCAGUUGAAAUU